CAAGUCGAACGGCAGCACGGGAGCAAUCCUGGUGGCGAGUGGCGAACGGGUGAGUAAUAUAUCGGAACGUGCCCAGUCGUGGGGGAUAACGCAGCGAAAGCUGUGCUAAUACCGCAUACGAUCUCUGGAUGAAAGCGGGGGACUCGCAAGGGCCUCGCGCGAUUGGAGCGGCCGAUAUCAGAUUAGCUAGUUGGUGGGGUAAAAGCCCACCAAGGCGACGAUCUGUAGCUGGUCUGAGAGGACGACCAGCCACACUGGAACUGAGACACGGUCCAGACUCCUACGGGAGGCAGCAGUGGGGAAUUUUGGACAAUGGGCGAAAGCCUGAUCCAGCAAUGCCGCGUGCAGGAUGAAGGCCUUCGGGUUGUAAACUGCUUUUGUACGGAACGAAACGGUUCGCCUUAAUACGGUGGGCUAAUGACGGUACCGUAAGAAUAAGCACCGGCUAACUACGUGCCAGCCGCCGCGGUAAU
Molecule: ribosomal RNA, 473 nt
Filed under: uncultured bacterium
Lineage: Bacteria
Description: bacterial SSU rRNA
Rfam family: Bacterial small subunit ribosomal RNA
Source: RNAcentral